GCCUUGUGAAGGAAACGUACUCUUACUCCUUCUGCAGAUGUGGAGACAGAGGCAGAAAAAAAGCCAUGCCCAAAGUGACACAGGUUUGAACUGAAACAUUAGCUCUUCCUGGGUCUCAAGCCUGUGGGCCUCCAGACUGGAAGUACACCGUUGGCUCUCCUGGGAUCUCCAGCUUGCCAAUUUACCCUGCGGAUCUUGGGAUUUGCCAGCUGCCAUAAUUUUGUAAAGAAGCUGAUUCUCAGGGAGGUUUGAUGAAUUAUCUAAGCUUAAGGCUACCAGCUGAAAAGUGGCAGAACUGAGAUUUGACCUCAGGUCUGAUCCGAAUCCUUACCUGUGUUUUCUACCCUCGGAACAGGUUGCUUCCCCGAUCAGCUUUCAAGAGAAGUAUUUUUCUGCCUUACUUUUAGAAAAGAGUCUCAGGGAGAUUAGAUAACUUGUCUAAGGACACCCAAUUAAUGAAUGGAAGAGUGGGGUUUUGAACCUAGGGCUUACUCACUCCAAAACCUGAGUUUACUGAGGUUCAUUAUUAAGAAAUAUGUCCUAAAUGGAGAAGAACAUGUUUAUAUCCAUGAUAGGUCCAUGUUAUUUCUUUGUUUUAAAAACAAUGUUUUGUUCUGUUUGUGUGUUUUAAAAGUCAUGUUUUGCAAACGCCAAAUUGUAACAGAAAGCAGGUUGUAAAGGAACUGGUGAGAGUUAUUGCCCAGAAAAACCAGCUGGGAAGCAUUUCAGUGUCAAUCUUAUUAUUGAUUUUAAAUUAGCAGUGACUUCAAAAGCCUUUGAAGUCGCUGGCAGGGAAUGCCUGGAUUGGGGAAAACAGUCACCAGAGGGUGUUCGCAGCAGGCAUGUGCUUUAUAAAUGUUCCUCCUCGUUAUGCUUUGGCACUGAGAAAGGUUGGAAAGAGGGUAGUGGGAUCUUAGCAGGAAGCUUCUAGCUGAUGUGGAUUGCCAGGAAGACCCAAUUAGCCUGUCCCUCUCAGUAGCAGAAGCCCAAGCAGAGGGAAUAAAUUAUUUGUGGCAGUGGCUACAGCUGCUGACAACUUCAGAGAGACCACCCAUGAGGACUUUCCAUGCCAAGCUGACUAGAAAGCCCUGAGAGUCUCUAACCCCAGGGGCCUGAUGGAAUCCAACCUGAGAGUGGAACUAAGUUAAAUUAAUGGUGGUUCAUAACACCUGAAGAAUGUGUCAAGCUGUCUCUGUCUCCUACCUGAACCUCUAUCUGAAGACCUCCACUGGCCAUCCUCCAAGACUGGGUUCAGAAUUCACCUCUUUGAAACCUCUGACAUGUCCUUGGACUUCUCUUGAUCCAAAUAGAAGUGACCUAUCUGUUCGUCUGUCCCUCCCUCCAUCCAUCCAUCCAUCCAUCCAGCAUUUGAUGACUUCCUACUUUGUGCCUGAUGUUACCAAUCCCUGGGGAUGCCACUCAUCUAAAAGUAGACAAGGUCCCUCUCCUCCUCACGAUGCUUCAGUCUUGGGAAGAGUAUAGAGACUACCCAACGGGCAAACUAAAGAUGUGCCUGGGGCACCAAUAAAGGAGGAACACCAAGAAAUUGUUUGGAAGUAGGGAAAACCAGAAGCACAAGAGGGUUAGAGUCCCUGGAAGCAGCGCUCCCACCUCAACCAAUGGUGAAUAGGAGGUGAUAAAUAGCCCAGCGUCAUCACCCAAUGGCAGUACCACUUGGAAGCAAGCUCUGCAAUAUGUCCCAGAGUUCUCAGUUCCUGCUUCACUUCUGCUCCUCCCACAAAGCUCAACCCUUUCUGCUGGGUGUGAGGAGAUUAACCAAGAAAAACAGAUGACGCAAACAGCUUCCAAGGAGGAGUUCAUUUUGGAGGCUCUACUGUUUAGAUGGUACUUUUCCCCUCUUCUUCGCUUACAACAACCCUAACUUGGCUUCCACUCUGACACCUAAUUAGGUCACCUCUUGUUCUAUGGAGCUCUAAGUAUUGUGUCCUUAUCCCAGGAAGCAGGAAGAUGAUAAGGUAUUAGGGGAAAAAGGAUGUAACUUCCAGGUAAGUGAGCUCCCCUUAAGGAGUUUUCUCAGAGGUCCCACAUACAACUUGAACUUACAUCUUGUUGAAGAGGACUUAGUCAUCUUGUCCCGCCUAGCUGCCAGGAAGUCUGGGAAAUGUAACCAUUCAUCUGGGUGUAUCACCACCUUGAAUAACCAGGGGGUCUGCUACUAAGGCAAAAGGGGACAGAUGAUAUUGGGUACCAUCAAAUAUUUUCUCUUUAGCUCCCCAACAUCCCAACCUACAUUUUUCCAUAUGUAGAAUGUAACACCUCUCCAAGAGAGAAGACUCCAAUAUCUCAUCCAGGUACCGUAUUUUGUUGAAAUCUAGGAUCUCAGAAGAUGUGUAGUUCUCUCCACCAGAUCCGAUUAUGUCUCCUUGAACUCCAUUGACCUAUAAACUAAAAUAACCUAUCUGCUUCUCACUUCCCACACACCCAACAAUCGGUGGUGAAGCAGAAACAGUAUACCUGCAGAAUGAACCCCCAUUUUGUAAAGGGGAGGAUGGGACAACCACAGCAGCCACCAGUUCAUGGACAACGACAACUCCCAUGGGGCAGGCCCUUGUUUAAAAACUUAGAAGGUUUUGUUCUAUAUGCUUCUGGAAAGUUUCAUGAACAAGUAACCACUGCCAAAAAUCUUAUCCAGCUAGAGGUUGUAAACCUGAAGGCUCUUGGAUUUUACUUACAGAUCUCUGUGUUCAGUCCAUUCUUCUCUCCCAACUUGAUAGCCAUCAGAAACAAUAGGCUUUGGUCAGGAAGCAAUUCACUAAUUCCCAUUUUACCAACACACCUAUUUAAUGCCAAAAUUUCAGCUGUUGCACCUGCUAAUAAUGAAUUCUGGUUAGCUAAUAAUCUUUAAGGUUUUCAGCUAUCUAGAUGACAGUCUGUAGGCAAAGCAAAACUGUACUUCCUAUGAUUUCUUCUUGUAAAUUGAUAGGUGUUUGACUUUAUUUCAUGUGGAACUUUGCUAAAAGUGUCAGAUGAUGUUGUCACAAACCAACUGUGGUAGGCAGCCUCUAAGAUGGUCCCCAAUGAUCCCCACCUCCUGGUAUUUACUUAUAUAAUCUACUUAUCUUGAGUGUGGGCUGGAUUUAGUGACUCACUAUUUAUUAAAAGAAUGUAGCAGAGGUGAUGGAUGCCACUUGUGAGAUUAGGAUUUGGGUGCUUUCUCUCUCUCUCACUCUAUCACUUGCUCUCUCUAAGGGUAACCAGCUGCCAUGUUCUGAGCUACCCUCUGGAGAGCUCCCAUGGCAAGAAAUUAAGGGAGGACUUUGAUCAAUAUCCACAGGAACUGAGACUUUUAGUCCGAUAGGCUCUGUAGAACUGAAUCCUGCUUAUAACUAUGUCAGUGAGCUUGUAAGUGGAUCUCAGUCGAGCCUUAGAUGAAACUGAAGCCCUCGGUGGUACCUUGAUUGCAACCCUAAAAGAAAUCUUGCUCAAGAGGGACUCAGCUUAUCCACACUGGGAAAGACAGAAGAAAGCAUACAGAGAAACAAAUAACCAAGAGAAAAAAAGUUGGAUCUUCAACCAGUGGGCAAGAGAAUUCCAGGAAGAGACAUCAUAUUGUGCAAAGGUAUGAAGUUGUGGAGAGCAUGGCACAAUCUGAGACCAAGAGUCCACUGGUGAUGUGACAGCAUAGAUCACAGGGUAGGGAAAUGGCUGAGGCUGCAGGGACGAGCUGUGGACAAAGAGCUGAGGGCUGUCCUGCUAGUCAGGAUUCUUUUCCAUCACAGAAACCUAGCCAGAGAAUUGAAAUAGGAUGGGCUUUUGGGCACAGAAUGGGUAUGGGCAGAAAAGGACUUGGCCCCAGAGAAAUGGACCCAAGAUCAAAGACAUCUUAUUGCAAAGAUGAAAUGUCCCCAUGUAGUGAGAAAUACGUCAUUGAUAAUCUAGGAUUAUUUCUUUCCAACCUAAUGACUUGAAAUAAAAGGAACUCUUCUGUUAGAAAAGAAUAAAUCCCAGGGAACACUGACUGGCUUUGAUUGGGUCAUGUGAUCUUCCUACAUCAGCAAUCACUGUGACUAGGGGAUGGGGAAAUCUGAUGGACUUGACUUGGCUUACUUACCCAUAUGUAUCUAUGGUGGGGUCAGGGUCUGUUUACCGAAGAAGGAGGUGAAAGGAUCCUGGCCACACUGAAACCAAGUAAUAGUCCCAGAGCCUUGACUGCUAUGCUAGGGAGUUUGGGUUUCAUCUGAGGCUGGCAGAAAUCAUUUUUAGGUUUUAAGAACAGAGAUGAAAUACUCAGAUGUAUGUUUGGAAAGAGCACCCCAGGCUCAGCGGGGAGAGAUGGUUGAGUAGAUGGAGUCUGGAAGACCCAUUGUGAUGCUAAUGGCAUAAUCCAAGUAAGGCUUUAGAACGGGGCUGUGCACAUGUUGCUGGGAGUGUGUGAGGAUUUAAGAGAGAACAGAGGACAUUGAUGUUUCCUAUCAGGUUCCAAGUGGAGAAAGAUGAGAACACACUAGCCACUGUGUGAAUCGUUGACAAGGUGAAUUGUUGAAAAGGUCUUUUAAGAGGUCAUUCAGGUUCAACAAUUGGCCAGUAUCCUAGACUUAUUUAUGAUUUUACUGAAGCUAAAUUGGCGCAAGGUGCAGAAAACUUGCUUUUCUGAUUGGGAUGAUAAUAUUUCAGUUUAACAGAUAUGCAACACCCACUAUGUGCCACGCCCAAAGCUUUUUGUAUUUUUCAAGAUGGGUAAAACAAGUCUCUGCCAGAACAAAGUAGCUUAAUAAUCCCAAGUUUGUAAAGAACACAUUGUAUGUCUACCCAUUAUCUCCUUCAAUCUUUACCAUAGGCCUAUGGAGAAGCACAGAAGACAUCCUGACCUCCAUUACACACUUUCUAUGAGAAGUGAACUGACUUUCUCAGUCCCUUUGGGAGAAUCUUCUUCAGUCCUGCCCACUCUGGUCUCCUGAAACCCACACAUCUUGGCUUUUUUCUAUGCCAUGAGAACUAAGGGAUUCCCUUAGGCAGCUGUGGGCUGGUAAAUGUUGAGCAGCAGAUGCUCUGAGCAGUGUUUGCUGAUUGUCGUGGUGUGAAUACUCGCACCAUGGCAAUUUAGUGUGACAUCACUGAACAUAGAAUUGGAAAGAGUUGUGCACGAUGAGUUCUCUUGAAUCUGAAGUUUCAGUGGUCUCAACAGCCAAUCCAAACUGGACCCUGGAGGGCAGAGUGGAAAGCCAUCCUCUUGGAGUUUGGUCUAUGUGAUCUGUUAUGGGUUGAAUUGUGUCCCCCACAAAAAUAUAUGGAAAUCCUAAUCACCAAGUCAUCAGAAUGUUACCUUAUUUGGAAAAAGGGUCAUCGUAGAUGUAGUUAGUUAAGAUGAGGUCAUACUGGAGUAGGGUGGGCCUCUAAUCCAGUAUGACUGGUGUCCUUGAAAGAAGACAACCAUGUGAAGAUACAGAGACACAGAGAGAAGGUUAUGUGAAGAUGGAAGCAGAGGUUGGAGUGAUGCAUUUACAGGCUGAGGAACUCCUGAGGCUGCUAGAAGCUGGAAGAAAUAAGGAUGGAUUAUCCCCUAGGGGUUUCAGAGGGAGUAAGGCUCUACUAAUACCUUGAGUUUAGAUUCUAGCCUCCAGAUCUGUGAGACAACACGUUUCUGUUGUUUUAACUCACCCACUUUGUGGCACGAAUGGUCCCUGUCUUUUCUCCUACCCUGCACCACCUGGUUUGAAAUACUGCUGCCUUGGGCAAAAUCCCACUGUGUUUGUGUUUUAUGGUUCCAGUGUUCUUUCAUUCCAGUCCUUCUCCAUCUGGAUCAUAUUACAGGAAUCUAGUGCAAUGAGCUAAAAUAUGGGAGAGUCCAUUGCCUUAAAGAGAUAAGAAAGUCAUCUUAUCAGCUAUAAUUAGUUGAAUACAUACUAGGUCUCAGAUGCUAUACUAGGUGUUUGUCAUGUGUUGCCACAUUUAAUUUAAUCUUAACGAUAAGCCUAUGAUUAGGCAUAAUUAUCCUUAUUCUACAAAUGGGGAGACAGAAGCUCAGUGAUAUUAGGUAACUUGCCUAAGGUCACAGAGCUAGUUAAGGACUGCAGGGUUGUCAACUCAGGUGUGGUAGACUGAGAUUCUGCACAACAUCUUAGCACUCCACCCUGUGGCCAAUUUGUGGGAGCCUCAAUGGGCUACCACUGCACAAACACCUCAGCAAUUGCCCCAUCUGGACCCAGAGAUAAAGUAUGAUCUGAGGACAGAGGAAGAAGAUGGAGGAUGGUUAGAGAAAUCAGGUCAAUUGAAUGAGUAACCCUGAAUCCCUUUGGUAAGCUUAUCUACAUCUAGUGGUUGCCAUUUGCACGUGGCAAUAAUAAUGAUAUGCCCUCAGUGAUAGUGUAUUAACCUUAAUUCCUUAUAUGUGUACAACACUGAACCUCUGUGAUGGGUUUUUACUUGAAUGGCUCUCAUCACUUCUCAGGCUGUGGAGCCAGAGAGAUCUGGGUUCGCAUUAACCAGUGGUCACAUCUUGAGCAAGUUGCUUUAUCAUUCGUGAGUAAUGAUUCACUUCCCUCACUUGGAACCUUGUAAGGGUGUUGGAAGGACUAAAUGAGGUAAUGUGGAGUGGGUCCAGUAUAUAGCAGAUAUUAGUGGAGCAAGUUUAUUCUUCCUGUUUGUGUGAGAAAGGAGUUUUCCCCAGUACUUCUGGCCUCUGGAGCAGUAUGUAGGUCCAUGCCCAGGAUCCAAACCGGCAAACCCUGGGCCGCAGAAGUGGAGAGCACAAACUCAACCACCAUGCCACUGGGCCAGCCCCUGCUUACCAUCUUUAUAUCCCUCUUAUAGGUUGAAUUUUGUUCUCCAAAAGAUAUGUUGAAUUCCUAACCCCUGAUACUUACGAAUGAUACCUUAUUUGGAAAUAAAGUCUUUGCAGAUGUAAUCAAGUUAAAAUAAGGUUAUUAGGAUGGGCCCUUAAUCUAACAUGACUGGUGUUCUUAUAAGAAAAGAGAAACACCAUGUAAAGACAGAAGCACACAGGAGAGAAUGUCUUGUGACCAAGGAGACAGAAAUGCUGCAGCUACAAGCCAAGGAAUGCCUGGAACUGUUGAAAAAUAAGGAGGUGGCUUUCUAUUAUCAUCUCUCUAUUCUGAGGUGAAUGAGAGACCUGGGGCCAAGAUAAAAGAAGAGCUAGGACGGUGGGGGGGGGACCCAUGUAUAUUGAGCACCUACUAUGUGUGUAUCCCCCGCUGAGUGCAUUGCAGAUGUCUCAUUUCAUCCUCACACCCCAUAAGGUGAGUGCUUUGUUCUCAUUUUCCAGAUGAGGAAACUUUAGUCAAAAAUAUUGGAUACCCAGCUCAAGGUCCCACAACGAACAAGGGACUGAGAAAAUUCCAGAGAGGUCUGUCUAAUUCCAACACCUGCCUGUGAUCUUUCUACUUUAUGCAAAGCAAUUAAGGCAAUAGGCAAAGUUUUAAGCACAGAUGGCCACUAUCAGGGGUCAUUGUAUUUGCUCUGAAAUGAGGAGAGAGGAGAGUCUUGAUGGAGCCACCCAGUUAGGUAACAGAGAGGUAGCAUAGCAGAGUGGUCAGGAUGCUGGCUCUGGAGGCCCCCUGCCUGAGCUCCACUGCCAUUCCACCUCCGCACUGACUCACUAGGUGCCUUUGCCAUGUGGCUUCAUCUCUCUAUGCCUCAGCUUCCUGGCUUGAUGUGUGGCAAUAACAGGAUCAGGGAUUAUAGAGCUGCUGUGAGGAUUAAAUGAGCAUCACAUAAAGGCACUUAGAACAAUUUGUCACACGGUGAGCAGGACAUAAAUGCUUGUUGCUGUUAUUAUUUUUUAUUAUUCUAAAAUGUGACCUGUAGAAAACCCCCCUCCCUCCCCAAAAGGCAUAAUGAUACCACCAGGAUGACUGUCUCCUAAGCAUAGCUCCCAGGACAUGCUUCUGGUCUACCCUCUGCCCCUGUGACUUCCAAAAUCUCAGCUGAGCUGGAAUAUUGUGUUUCUAAUUAGACAAGUGUCUGCUGUGUUGGCUAAUAAUGCUUUUCACAAGGCUUUUUGGUGAUGCAGGGUGAUGGCUGUAAUGUUUCAUAGCCAUUGAUAAGAACACAAUCUGGAGGGAAAGUGCUAACAUGUAAUUUGCAGUCAUGACUUCCAGCAUUAAUUAAAAAAAUGUCUCUGUGGUCCCUGAUUUCAAGGCGCUGUCUACUGCUUCUCUGAAGGGUAUUGAAAUGCUUCACCCGGAUCAGGCGCACAGGCCCUGUGCCCAGCUACUACUUCUUCCCAGCAGGACUGCCUGUCUGUGGGGAGCUCUCGGACUUCUGAAAUGUGUUCUGGGUGUCCUGUGUAAAUGGUGUGAGCUGGAAAGCUGUUACUUAAACUUGGGAGGCUUAGCUGAAGCAGAGGACGAAUGAAUCAGGGGUGAUAUGCUUUGGGGGCAUUUCAGCAUGCUUUGUUUUUCAAUUCUGGUGACUAUUUUUCUAGGACCACAAUGACCUGCUCUUACCUGACAAGCCAACUAUAUUUCCUUUCUCUCGUGGGAUGUGGUUAUCAGAAAAAUAGAUCAGAGUCAAUAGAUAGAUUUAGUCCAGCUUUGAGGAUUUUGCUCAUCAAGUAUCAUGCAUAGGGGUGAUGUGACAAUUAGGGCACAGGGAUGAGAGCUCUCUUUUUCAAAGGAAGUCGCUGCCUUUCUGGCACUGGUACAAGCAUACCUUUAUGCUUCUCUCUGCCAGGAUGGCCAGUUCUUGCAGUUAAAAAUUCCAAACACAAAGGUCUCUUAAUCCAAUGGUAAAAAGAAAAAAAAUCACAAAUUAUGCAGAAUUUGCUGGCUUUGAGGAGGAUAAAAGGGGAUCUCCAUUGGAUGUAUAGUAUGUUUGACAGCUGGAUUGAAAUUUGAAGAUAUGAUGAAAGUACAGAACAAGAAUAAAAAAAUAAUUAGAAGCUCCACAGAAAGCAAAAUAGUCUAUAAGAAUGUAAUGAUCCUCCCCAAACAAAUUAAUCUGGUAAAAAUCUGUAGAUUUCAAGACAUGAAUUUCACACAAUAGAUAGAAAAUAGGCAAAAUGGAAAAGAAAUUAUCACACAUAUAACCUGUGCAAAUAGAUUAGAAUGCAGAUACAUGCACACACACCUCUCUUCACGUCUGAUACACUCAUACAAAUGAAAGGGCUCGUAAACACUGCUUUGUGCCUUCCAUUUUUUAAGCUUACUAUAUAUUGUGGAAUUUUCAUGUUGCUAUAUAUACCAUUC
This 9167-nucleotide long non-coding RNA is filed under the name Equus asinus (donkey). RNAcentral's name for it is "lncRNA (ENSEASG00005035740.1)". The record is from RNAcentral. Lineage: Eukaryota; Metazoa; Chordata; Mammalia; Perissodactyla; Equidae.